Molecule: long non-coding RNA, 454 nt
Organism: Herpailurus yagouaroundi (jaguarundi)
Lineage: Eukaryota; Metazoa; Chordata; Mammalia; Carnivora; Felidae
Exons: 2
Source: RefSeq, a predicted model, not a curated record
AAUUAACCUUUACACCUUACACCUUUGAGCUUUUUAAAUAUGCAGGUGUUUCCUCUUCUCAACCUUUAGGGUAUAAUUGUGUGACCUAUAAAGUCCAAGGGAAUAUUCCUUUAUUGUCAGGAUCAAAUAACUGGGGAAUUUGAAAAAGAUUGUUUAGAAAAUUUUUCUGAAGAGUAAAAUCUUAAUAUUUCUGUCGUUUCCUUAUUUGUAUGUGGUGGAAGUAUUCACUCAUUAUGCCAGUGAGCCUCCAGAAUGGCCCCAGUGAUCCUUGCCUCCUGGAAUUUGUGAUACUUUCUAGCCCCUUCCUACAUUGAGUAGGACUUAACCCGUGUAGCCAGUAGAACAUGGCAGCAAUGAAGGUGUGUGACUUUAAGACUGGGUCAUAAAAGACAUUGCAGCUUGCCCCCUAUCUUUUUUUGAAUCACUCUGGGGGAUGCCAUCCACCAUGUUGGGA